UAAGCUGAAGUGAAAUGAAGUUAAAGGGUUUCUCCCCAGUUCUGGAGUGAGAAAUCAGUACUGAAGUAAAACAACCAUCUUGAGAGCAAGAAACUAAAUGCUACCACGACCUAAGUGUCUUUGUUCUGUAACACAUUUUCACCAUGGUAUUUCUGUCUUGGAGCCAGCUUACCAUGGACUGAAUUCCUGAAAGCUGAAUCAAAACUGGCAACCAGGUGUGGGUACCAUUGGAGCCAGAUAUUUUCAGGCAUCAGUGUGAUCAUGCGGACAACUGCAGACUGUGUCAGAGAACCACUCCUACCACAAAUCUCAAGAAACUGACAUAAGGCCAUGGCUCAGAGCAGAGAGUGUCUGCAAGAGGGGCUUGUCACUUGUGUCCAUACCAAUUGA
Molecule: long non-coding RNA, 390 nt
Organism: Fukomys damarensis (Damara mole-rat)
Lineage: Eukaryota; Metazoa; Chordata; Mammalia; Rodentia; Bathyergidae
Exons: 4
Source: RefSeq, a predicted model, not a curated record